RNAcentral lists this ribosomal RNA (459 nucleotides) under uncultured bacterium. RNAcentral's name for it is "partial 16S ribosomal RNA". It matches the Rfam family "Bacterial small subunit ribosomal RNA", at positions 28 to 507 of the family's 1533-position model. The record is from RNAcentral.
GAUGAACGCUGGCGGCGCGCCUAACACAUGCAAGUCGAACGGCACCCCUCCUCGGAGGGAAGCGAGUGGCGAACGGCUGAGUAACACGUGGAGAACCUGCCCCCUCCCCCGGGAUAGCCGCCCGAAAGGACGGGUAAUACCGGAUACCCCGGGGUGCCGCAUGGCACCCCGGCUAAAGCCCCGACGGGAGGGGAUGGCUCCGCGGCCCAUCAGGUAGACGGCGGGGUGACGGCCCACCGUGCCGACAACGGGUAGCCGGGUUGAGAGACCGACCGGCCGGAUUGGGACUGAGACACGGCCCAGACUCCUACGGGAGGCAGCAGUGGGGAAUCUUGCGCAAUGGGGGGAACCCUGACGCAGCGACGCCGCGUGCGGGACGGAGGCCUUCGGGUCGUAAACCGCUUUCAGCAGGGAAGAGUCAAGACUGUACCUGCAGAAGAAGCCCCGGCUAACUACGUG